Molecule: ribosomal RNA, 3108 nt
Filed under: Candidatus Bathyarchaeota archaeon
Lineage: Archaea; Thermoproteati; Candidatus Bathyarchaeota
Description: 23S ribosomal RNA
Rfam family: Archaeal large subunit ribosomal RNA
Source: RNAcentral
GGUUCAAGCCACCUGGUGGAUGGCUCGGCUUGGGCGUCGAAGAAGGACGCGGCAAGCGGCGAUAUGCCCCGGGUAGGCGCAUGCAGCCUUCGAUCCGGGGAUCUCCGAAUGGCGUUAGCCACCGCGGGUUAACAGCCCGCGGUAUUCGAGAAAGCAACCGCGAGGUUGUGAGUAUCGAAGGAGAACCCCCCGAACGGAAACAUCUUAGUAGGGGGAGGAAAAGAAACCAAUAGGGAUCCCCUGAGUAGGGGCGACCGAAAGGGGGGGAGUCCAAACCGAACCCCGAGCGAAAGCUUUGGGGGAUGUAGGGUUAAAGGGGCUGACCGACCCCCCUGCCUGUUAAGCCGAAGUGGUCUGGAACGACCCGCCAUAGAGGGUGAUAGCCCCGUAGGCGUAAGCAGGCGAGGGGUUUGAGGUCAGAACCCAGAGUACCGUGGCUUGGUUUUGCUGCGGGAAGUUGGGAGGCACGGACUUCCAAGACUAAAUACGUCCCAAGACCGAUAGCGCACUAGUACGGUGACGGAAAGCUGAAAAGCACCCCGAGAGGGGGGUGAAAAGAGCCUGAAACCAGGUGGUUACAGGAGGCUUAGCCUGAAAGGGUCUCCUCCGAAGGAACCCUCGGCAACGAGGGAAGUACGAGGAGGGGAAGCCGGGGUUAAGCCUUCCGUCUGGAAACACGGGCCAGGGAGUUCACGGCUGUGGCGAGCCUAAGGGGUCUAACCCCGCAGGCAUAGGGAAACCGAAGGGCCCGCAGUCGGUAUCACUACUUCAACUCUAACUCCUUACCGAGGGUAACCCGAUGCGGUGGGAGAGGAGUUGAAGGAAAUAUCGAUGAGGGGCGGAGUCCUAAAGGGCUCGGAGUCACAGCCGUGAGACCAGAAACCAGGCGAUCUAGGCCUGGGCAGGGCGAAGCAAGGCGAAAGCCUUGUGGAGGCCCGAAAGGGUGCUGACGUGCAAAUCGCUCCCUUGACCCGGGCCUAGGGGCAAAAGACCAAUCAAGCCUGGUGAUAGCUGGUUCCCCCCGAAGCUGGUCCCAGCCAGGCCCGCCCAGAGGUAGCUUGCGGGGUAGGGCACUGAUUGAGAGGUAAGGAGUCGAAAGGCUCCGCCUCUCUUUCAAACCCCGAAUCUGCAAGCACCGUAGAAGGGCGGAGACGGGUUUGGGGGGUAAGCUCCCAAGCCGAAAGGGGAACAACCCAACCUGGGGUUAAGGCCCCUAAUUGCUGGCUAAGUGUUAACGGCGAAGGGCGUCUUCGGCCUUAGACAGCGGGGAGGUAGGCUUAGAAGCAGUUAUCCUUUAAACAACGCGUAACAGCGGACCCGCCGAGGCCGAAGGCCCCGAAAAUUGACGGGGCUUAAGCCAGCAGCCGAGACCCCAGGGGACCUCGAAAGGGGUCAUCCGGUAGGGGGGCGUUCUGGUUGGGUAGAAGCUGGUCCGUGAGGACCAGUGGACCAACCAGAAUUGCAGAUCCUGGCGGUAGUAACAGCCUAGUCGGGUGAGAAUCCCGACCGCCGAAAGGGCCAGGGUUCCUCAGCAACGCGUCAUCGGCUGAGGGUUAGCCAGUCCUAAGGCUGGGCUUAACAUGCUUCAGCCGAAAGGGAAACCGGUUAAUAUUCCGGUGCCGUGGAGGUACGAUCGCGGCAACGCAAGCCAGACCUCUGACCCUUCGGGAUAGGGCAGGUGGAGCUACCGCUCCACUUAACUACUUAAGGCCGCGGAGUGCCGUAAGGGCGAGAAGCGGCUGAAGGUAGGAAUAGCCUGCCGUUAGGCGGGUCUGCCCGAUUCCUGGAGGCCAUGAAAAGGGGGUCUGGAAGGAUCCUCCACGACUGUACCGAGAACCGACACUGGUGCCCCUGGGUGAGAAGCCCAAGGCGUGUCGGGGUUACCCCAGGCCAGGGAACUCGGCAAGUUGGCCCCGUACCUUCGGUAGAAGGGGUGCCUGGAGCUUUAGGCUUAAGCCUGGAGCUCUAGGUCGCAGUGACUAGGGGGACCCGACUGUUUAAUAAAAACAUAGGUCCCCGCAAGCCCGAAAGGGUGUGUACGGGGGCUGAAUCCUGGCCACUGGCGGUCCGUGAACCCCGGUUCCAACCGGGCGAAGCGCCGCCGAAGGCCGGGAGUAACUCUGACUCUCUUAAGGUAGCCAAAUGCCUUGUCGGGUAAGUUCCGACGCGCAUGAAUGGAUCAACGAGGUCCCCACUGUCCCGGCCUGGGACCCGGUGAACCCACCUCCUGGUGCAAAGUCCAGGGACCUCCGGCGGGGCGAGAAGACCCCGUGGAGCUUUACUGCAGCCUGGCGCUGAGGUACGACCGCUGAUGUGUAGCGUAGUCGGGAGUUAAUGAACCACCUCCUUUAGAGGUGGUGAAACGCCAAUGAAACACCGACCUUCAGCGGUUGUAUCCCUUACUAGAGGGUUUCCCUCUAGAACAACGCCAGGUGGGCAGUUCGGCUGGGGCGGCACGCCCUCGAAAGGAUAUCGAGGGCGCCCAAAGGUCGGCUCAGACGGGUCAGAACCCCGUCGUAGAGGGCAAGGCCAAAAGCCGGCCUGACCGAACCCUCAAAAGCAAGGGGUUCGGAGGCGAAAGCCAGGCCUAGCGACCGCUCAUGCCCUCCUCCGUGGAGGCUGGGCAUGACAGAAAAGUUACCCCGGGAAUAACCGGCUCGUCGCGGGCGAGAGCUCCCAUCGACCCCGCGGAUUGGUACCCAGACGUCGUCUCUUCCCAUCCUGGGAGUGAAGCAGCUCCCAAGGGUGGGGCUGCCCGCCCAUUAAAGGGGAACGUGAGAUGGGUUUAGACCGUCGUGAGACAGGUCGGUCUCUACCUGCCGGAGGCGUCGGUCGCCUGAGGGGAAGGUGUCCUCAGUACGAGAGGAACGGGACACCGUAGCCUCUAGUUUACCGGUUGUCCGGUAGGGCAUCGCCGGGCAGCCACGCUACAAGGGAUAAGAGCUGAAAGCAUCUAAGCUCGAAGCCCUCCCCGAGACGAGGCGACCAUUCUGCGUAGCUUACACUACGCAGACGAGGGCUCCCCCAGAAGAGGGGGUUGAUGGGGUGGGGGUGUAAGCGCCAAGGUUUAAGCCGAGGCGUUCAGCCCGCCACUCCCAAUCGCCCGAG